GGGUCAGUAGGUUGGUCGUGCCCCUGGUACGUACUGGUCUCACUGAUUCCUCCUUCCUGAAGAACCGUAAUGCCAUUAAUUUGGUGUUGCGGGGAAACAGGACUGUUACUUUGAAAAAAUUAGAGUGUUUAAAGCAAGCUAACGCUUGAAUACAUUAGCAUGGAAUAAUGAAAUAGGACGAUCGAUCCUAUUUUGUUGGUUUCUAGGAUUGACGUA
Molecule: ribosomal RNA, 216 nt
Filed under: Glomeromycotina sp.
Lineage: Eukaryota; Fungi; Glomeromycota
Description: partial small subunit ribosomal RNA
Rfam family: Eukaryotic small subunit ribosomal RNA (bases 40-216)
Source: RNAcentral